GACGAACGCUGGCGGCGUGCUUAACGCAUGCAAGUCGAACGGAAAGGCCCUGCUUUUGUGGGGUGCUCGAGUGGCGAACGGGUGAGUAACACGGGAGUAACCUGCCCUUGACUUUGGGAUAACUUCAGGAAACUGGGGCUAAUACCGGAUAGGAGCUCCUGCUGCAUGGUGGGGGUUGGAAAGUUUCGGCGGUUGGGGAUGGACUCGCGGCUUAUCAGCUUGUUGGUGGGGUAGUGGCUUACCAAGGCUUUGACGGGUAGCCGGCCUGAGAGGGUGACCGGCCACAUUGGGACUGAGAUACGGCCCAGACUCCUACGGGAGGCAGCAGUGGGGAAUAUUGCACAAUGGGCGGAAGCCUGAUGCAGCAACGCCGCGUGCGGGAUGACGGCCUUCGGGUUGUAAACCGCUUUCGCCUGUGACGAAGCGUGAGUGACGGUAAUGGGUAAAGAAGCACCGGCUAACUACGUG
Molecule: ribosomal RNA, 468 nt
Filed under: uncultured bacterium
Lineage: Bacteria
Description: partial 16S ribosomal RNA
Rfam family: Bacterial small subunit ribosomal RNA
Source: RNAcentral